Phrynosoma platyrhinos (Desert horned lizard) is the source of this 72-nucleotide non-coding RNA. The record is from the annotation of a GenBank genome assembly. NCBI's taxonomy places the organism in Eukaryota, Metazoa, Chordata, Lepidosauria, Squamata, Phrynosomatidae.
GCCAGCAUGGUGUAGUGGUUUGAUCACUAGACUAUGACUCCUAAGAACAGGGUUUGAAUCCCUGCUCGGCCA